This 1231-nucleotide ribosomal RNA is filed under the name metagenome. RNAcentral's name for it is "bacterial LSU rRNA". It matches the Rfam family "Bacterial large subunit ribosomal RNA", at positions 1689 to 2925 of the family's 2925-position model. The record is from RNAcentral.
CUUAGAACCGUGGUUAAGGAACUCGGCAAAUUGACACCGUAACUUCGGGAUAAGGUGUGCCACUGAGGGUGAAGAGCCUUGCGCUCGUAAGCCUUCGGGGGUUGCAACAAAGAGGCGGUAGCGACUGUUUACCAAAAACACAGGCCUGUGCGAAGCCGUAAGGCGACGUAUACGGGUUGACGCCUGCCCGGUGCCGGAAGGUUAAGGGGAGUGGUCAGCGAAAGCGAAGCUGCGAACCGAAGCCCCGGUAAACGGCGGCCGUAACUAUAACGGUCCUAAGGUAGCGAAAUUCCUUGUCGGGUAAGUUCCGACCUGCACGAAUGGCGUAACGACUUCCGCGCUGUCUCGAUCACGGUCUCAGCGAAAUUGACAUUGGGGUGAAGAUGCCCCAUACCCGCAGCAAGACGGAAAGACCCUGUGAACCUUUACUCUAACUUGGCAGCGACAUUCGGUUCAGCUUGUGUAGGAUAGGUGGGAGACGAUGAAGCGGGGGCGCCAGCCUUCGUGGAGUCAACGUUGAAAUACCACCCUGGUUGUGCUGGAUGUCUAACCCGGCCCUUGUGGCGGGGACACUGCCUGGCGGGGAGUUUGACUGGGGCGGUCGCCUCCCAAACAGUAACGGAGGCGCGCAAAGAUUCCCUCAGCGUGAUCGGAAACCACGCGCAGAGUGCAAAGGCAGAAGGGAGUUUGACUGCAAGAUCGACAGAUCGAGCAGGUGCGAAAGCAGGCCUUAGUGAUCCGGCGGUCCCACAUGGGAGGGCCGUCGCUCAUCGGAUAAAAGGUACUCCGGGGAUAACAGGCUUAUCACGCCCAAGAGUUCACAUCGACGGCGUGGUUUGGCACCUCGAUGUCGGCUCAUCGCAUCCUGGGGCUGGAGCAGGUCCCAAGGGUUUGGCUGUUCGCCAAUUAAAGCGGUACGCGAGCUGGGUUCAAAACGUCGUGAGACAGUUUGGUCCCUAUCUGCUGUGGGCGCAGGAGAGUUGAGAGACGCUGUCCUUAGUACGAGAGGACCGGGAUGGACGUUCCUCUGGUGUUCCGGUUGUCGCGCCAGCGGCAUAGCCGGAUAACCAUGAACGGAAGGGAUAACCGCUGAAAGCAUCUAAGUGGGAAGCCCAUCUCCAGAUAAACUCUCCCUUGAGGGCCCAGAAAGACCAUCUGGUUGAUAGGCGGGGCGUAUAAACGCAGCAAUGCGUGCGCGGACCCGUACUAAUCGCCCGAACGACUUGACCCC